CUUACUUCAAGGCAAGUAGGCCAUUGGUUUGAGAAGUCCAUCUGGGUCUGUGUUUUAGAAAAGAAAGGUAGGUACACAGAUCCAGGUUUCUGGAGGGAGUAGGGAUGACUAAUGAGAAUGUUUUACUGAGCCUCGGUGAUGCAUGCUUAUCUGGGAAACCCUCAUUCACAAGUAUUCCAGACUCCACCAUGCUUCACGCAUGGCCAUGAGCAAGACUGGCAGAUAACAGCUUUUGCCUUGCAGCCCUAACCCCAAUGCCUGUAGUUUCCAACAUGGCCUCAGCAGAUAUUUGUGAAUAACACCAUGGCUUCAUCAGAGGAUGUGGGGCUGUAGGUCCUCUGGGUGUGAAGCUGUUCUAGUAAACCCAUUUUUAAAAAGAAAGACUUGUUUUUACUUUUUUCUAAAUGUCUCUGACUACUGACUGUUCUAUAGAUUAUUUUUCCUUUUUUGAUAUACAUAUAUGAAUAUAGAUAUAUAUAUAUAUAUUUACUGUUACCAGCAGCGUAUGAUAGAGUUUGAGCAUCAGAAAUCCAUUUGGAAGCUUGCAUUUUCUUUCUGCUUUUUGAUAAAGAAAUCCCAUUCCUUCCUUGUAGUACAAGGAGUUAGCACUUCCUUCUUCAUUCUCACCUAAACAUAUCUUCCACUUUUCUUCUAUUCAAAUAGAUAAUAUAUUUCCUCCAUGUUGGGACUUGUCCCUGUCUGUUGGGCAGCUUGGUCUUAUUCUAGUCAGUGCUGAAUGUUUUGUAUGUCUGAAACUAUGGUGCUGUGCCCCCCCCCCCUGCCCCUAUUGGGUUCUGUGUUCUUACAAAGGUCUUAGGUGGACUCUGUAAACUCCUGCUAGAAGGAGAAUAAUAUAUUUUAAAGGACAAAAAGGUUUUCUAAAAAUGGUGUUUAUCUUCACUAUCCUUUGUUCUUUAUUUUGGUUUAAGAAUCUGCAAUUUAACUUAAACUCAUCACUUGUCCUGUUAAAGGGGCAUUGAGCAAACCUAGGAAGUUUGUAGCCUCUGUUCCCCUUUACUCCAGUCUCUUAAAUAAAUGUCUUCUAGUAACUAGAAGUGAGAUGUACUGUCCAGUUACAGACUGUGUGGGUAUGAGGGCUACCUCAAAAGGCAUCUUAGGAAAAGAAAAGGUUUUCUUACAAAACCCUUUAUCCCAAGUGCUAACCAGGCUUGGCCCUGCUUAGCUUCCAAGGUCAGAGGAGACAUACACGUGCAGGUGGUACGGCUAUAGGUACAACAUCCAAUUUCUGAAAAUACUUUCUCUGGUUUAUACUACCUACUUUUUGGUCUCUUCACUUAAUGUUAAGUAACAUAUCUUGACCAGUUAUGUUGUUUGAAUGUGUUGCUGUGCUUGUAUCUUGAAUUUCCAUCUCAAUGUGAGUGUGAGCUAAGAUUUCAGUAAUGGUUACAAGGUUAAUUAAGUAAAUAGUUAAUUUCACACAUUUUCAUUUUGCCAAACAUGAAGAUUAUCACGUAAGAAUUUUAUUUGGUUAUUGUUAUAAUGAAAAAAAGCACAAUAUUUCUUAACUUUUAGUCUUUGUAAAAGACUUGAGAUACUUGUGGUUUAAAAUUGAGUGUACACCAACCCUUCAGAAAUUUACAAUGUAAGUGAUAGAAUCCCAGAAUACAUUUUACAAUUUUGAUUUUCCUUCCAGUUAACUACUUUUCAUUAACUGUGUUAUCAAUAGUAAGGAGUCAUGAGGAUACUGAAAGGUGACUGUUUUGAGUAAUUUGUGUUCUUUGUACAGUGUUUGUCUGUUGGAGACCUCAGACAUAGGCAGUCUGUACCUGUGAAUAGCUGCCUGUCAUCUUCUGAUGUUUUGAAACUUUUAAAUAUAUAAUUUAAUUG
RNAcentral lists this long non-coding RNA (1848 nucleotides) under Mus musculus (house mouse). Its description in RNAcentral is "long non-coding RNA chr6:120439908-120441756". The record is from RNAcentral. Lineage: Eukaryota; Metazoa; Chordata; Mammalia; Rodentia; Muridae.